GCUCAGGGCAAAUUGGUCCUCCACCCAGAGACUCUCCCUUUAGGUGGGUCUGGCUCCCAGCCUCCCCUGAGAUUUCCCUGGCUCACCAGGGGGCUGUGUCUGGUGGCAGAGAGGGCUUUGGAGGAGGCAUUGCCCUGAAACCCUGGCAGAGCCUGGGCACCUAAGAGAGAAUGAGCAACAGGGCUAGGAAGUGUGACAGGGAGUCCACAACCUCCCAGGAUCUUGGGAGGGCAGGGAUGAGGCACUGAGCACGGCCUGGAAGCCCACGGGAAGCAGGGACCCCUCUGUCGAGGGCUACACCUACUGCUCUCAGCAUCAAGCCUGCAGCCAGCCCCUGUCCCAGGCAGGUUUUGUGGCCGCGAGCUGCUCAGGAGUGAGCGCGCCUUAGGGUGUGUGCGCCAGGGACCUGGCGCAGCCGACCACGUGGGAGUGCGGCGCGUGUACGGGCGCGGGCGGCAGCGGCAGCGGAGACCGGGUGAGCACCGGCUGGUUCCUCGCGGUGUUCCUGUAGGCUUGGCGGCCGCGGUGGUGCGAUCAGCAAAGGGCACCGGGAUGCCGGUUGUGCGUGUCCUCAGGUGUCCCGAACAAGCGUGAGUGGCAUGUGCUCACCUGAGCGCGGCGGCUUGGCGGCCCCGGGCGUGUGGGUGGGGGCGCGGCGGAGAGCUGAGGCCGGGCACCCGGGCUGGACCGACGGGCCCUCUCCCAAGCACCGCCCGCAGCCAGGCGGCUCCUCGAGCGCAGCAACUUUGGGACUUUGUUCCGGCUUUUUCCAAAUCGAAUCUGGUCG
RNAcentral lists this long non-coding RNA (787 nucleotides) under Pan troglodytes (chimpanzee). RNAcentral describes it as "long non-coding RNA NONPTRT006088". The record is from RNAcentral. Lineage: Eukaryota; Metazoa; Chordata; Mammalia; Primates; Hominidae.